RNAcentral lists this long non-coding RNA (1596 nucleotides) under Bemisia tabaci. Its description in RNAcentral is "lncRNA ENSSSA2NGG010176". The record is from RNAcentral. Lineage: Eukaryota; Metazoa; Arthropoda; Insecta; Hemiptera; Aleyrodidae.
AUGAAGCCCAUCACAUUCGAGAACCUCCGCCGCCUAGUCGGCGGCGGUCGUAAGAAGAAGGAGCGCAAUGAGCCGACGUUCAAGCGCUCCGACUCGUUCAAGCGGAUCUCCAUCCGCAAGAACCACCUAGAACGCGGCGGCAAGGGGCGAAACCCGCUGUCCCUGUCGCGAGCCAAGGCCGUCAACGUGGACGAGGAGGAAGCGGACACGAAGAUCGCGGAUCGGCGGACGCCGGAGAUCAAGUCCUCGGCGGCGGAGAUUCUCGGCGCCACGGACUCCCUCGUCAUCGGCUACGGCCAGUGGAUCAAGUGCGUGAAGGCGGAGGAGAACAUGGCCACCUCCGGGAAGCCACCCACGCCGCCGCCCAAGAAGAAACCCGGCACUCCCUCCGUCGACUCCCUGGAGCUCCUGGACCUGGAGCGCUCUCCGGAGAUCGUGCGGCGGCGGUUCCGGCAGUCGAAGCCCCCAGAGGAGGGCCGCGGGGUCUCCAUCAGCCUCGGGCGCAUCUGGAUGGACGCCCCGAUGGCAAUGGCCAUGGCCUCCGCGCCGCGCAGCCUCGAACUACCACGUGUCGCCAACUCCAUCGAGGCCAACCCCAACGGCAACCACCGUGCCCACCACUCCUUGGAGAGUGCCCUCAAGGACAAAAAAGACGAGAAGCCCGCCAGUGGGCGUCGCUACCACCAGUACCCCUCCCGACCCCUUUCGCCCAACACCUUCAUGAUGCCCGUCUGUCGCACCCUCUCGUCGACAACCCCAACUUACUCAACCGGCAAAACAGCAUCAGCUUCUUCCUCCAGAGGAUCGACCGAACUCCUAAGCUCCAGUAAAGACUCAGGUUUCUCAUUCUCCAUCUCCAUCCCACGUCUGUCCGACCUGACGUCUCCGACGAGUUCGUCCGGGGGUUUCUUCCGUCGGAAGAAGGCGCCCAAGAAGGCCGCUGAGCCCAUCGCCAGGGGCGCCGUCUCGACCCGCAGAUUAUCGCAUCGCACCAGUUCGCGGCGGAAAAAGCUCGACAAGUGGACUGCGCGCUCCCGGAAGAAAUCGAGUAACGGCACGGCAAAAAGUGAUAUGUAUCAGGUGGUCGUCGGUCGGACACCUCGCUCGUUAAAGUCCCUCAAGCUGGACCCGAUGAUCUUCGUGCCGCCGGAGAAACGGAAGCCCACCAACUCGAUGAAGCGGUGGCAGAACCGCUUCGAGGUCCACGAGGUGCGCGACUACUGCUCGCCAAGGGACGUGAUGGGCUCCCCAGGGUCGGAGGACGAGGACGAGGGCCUCUACGAGUGCAUCGAGAGGGACUCGGACGUGUCCAAAGCGGACGCCGACGUGGAGGAAGGGACGGAGGGCAGCGAGUCCGGCACGGAACCCGAGGGGGUGGUGCCCCUGAGGCGGGCCCUGAGGGGCGGCGAUGACGAUGACGCCGACACCGAGGACGCCUACUCGCCGUUGGGCGUCUCGCCGGUGCCCCAGAGGCGCCUCAUCCGCCGGAAGAGGUCCGGUCGCAAGAACGGGAAGUACCUGGCCAAGCCCGUCAUCCAUCGGGCCGCCUCCCACGCUCAAAAGGAACCGAAAGCUCAAGAAACAUGUCAACGGUGA